AUGGAGCCGACCUUGAAAUACCACCCUUUAAUGUUUGAUGUUCUAACGUUGACCCGUAAUCCGGGUUGCGGACAGUGUCUGGUGGGUAGUUUGACUGGGGCGGUCUCCUCCUAAAGAGUAACGGAGGAGCACGAAGGUUGGCUAAUCCUGGUCGGACAUCAGGAGGUUAGUGCAAUGGCAUAAGCCAGCUUGACUGCGAGCGUGACGGCGCGAGCAGGUGCGAAAGCAGGUCAUAGUGAUCCGGUGGUUCUGAAUGGAAGGGCCAUCGCUCAACGGAUAAAAGGUACUCCGGGGAUAACAGGCUGAUACCGCCCAAGAGUUCAUAUCGACGGCGGUGUUUGGCACCUCGAUGUCGGCUCAUCACAUCCUGGGGCUGAAGUAGGUCCCAAGGGUAUGGCUGUUCGCCAUUUAAAGUGGUACGCGAGCUGGGUUUAGAACGUCGUGAGACAGUUCGGUCCCUAUCUGCCGUGGGC
Molecule: ribosomal RNA, 473 nt
Filed under: Escherichia coli
Lineage: Bacteria; Pseudomonadati; Pseudomonadota; Gammaproteobacteria; Enterobacterales; Enterobacteriaceae
Description: partial 23S ribosomal RNA
Rfam family: Bacterial large subunit ribosomal RNA
Source: RNAcentral